This is a non-coding RNA of Potamilus streckersoni, 69 nucleotides long. The record is from the annotation of a GenBank genome assembly. Lineage: Eukaryota; Metazoa; Mollusca; Bivalvia; Unionida; Unionidae.
GCGGCCUAGUGGUUAGAGCGUCCGCCUCAGAUGCGGGAGGUUGAGGGUUCUAUCCCCUGUCGAGACAUA